This 236-nucleotide ribosomal RNA is filed under the name uncultured bacterium. RNAcentral's name for it is "partial 16S ribosomal RNA". It matches the Rfam family "Bacterial small subunit ribosomal RNA", at positions 118 to 354 of the family's 1533-position model. The record is from RNAcentral.
UGAGCAAUCUGCCCUUCCCUUUGGAAUAAGCGUUGGAAACGACGUCUAAUGCCGAAUACGACCUCCUUUCGCAUGAUCGGAGGUGGAAAGCUCCGGCGGAGAAGGAUGAGCUCGCGGCCUAUCAGCUAGUUGGUGUGGGUAAUGGCCCACCAAGGCGACGACGGGUAGCCGGCCUGAGAGGGUGACCGGCUACACUGGGACUGAGACACGGCCCAGACUCCUACGGGNGCAGCAGG